CACCAAGCUUAGUAUAGUAUCCAAGAUCUUUCCUCUACACAGUGGUGGGGGCACAACAUGAACAUAGUUGUCUGGGACUUCAAAGCUCACAUCAUUUCUACAAAAUUGUCAGUUCCAACACACACACACACACAAUCCCAAACACAAUAAGAUGAUGAGGGAAGUAUGGUAACAUUUAUUGAGUUCUUACUAUAUGCCAUAGGCAGUGCUAAUGAUUUUAUGUAUAUCACUUAAUAUUGGCUCUUUUGGGUUUCUGUGAAUGUUAAGUAUUUCCAUUUCAGGGGAGAAAGGAAUUUAUACUUAAAGAAGUUUUUCAGAUUUUCAAGGUCACCAAGUUAGUGAGCAGGGCAUAUAUUAAUGGAGGCUGUAGCAAAGUAAUUUCAGAAGCAGUUGCUCCACUGACUACAGUGAUGUGACUGAAUGGAAAUACUCUUAAUGGAGAAGAAAGGAAUAAAAGAUGCCUUCAGGCCAACUCUCCUUGAUCCCCACAGAGUUGCCUCAGCACACCUUUGCAUACCGGCUACUGCUUCCUCACCAUCUCUUCUGCAAUAUCCUUCAGACCUCCUCUGGAAUGUCUUCACUUCCUCUUUCUUAAUCCAUGACCCUGCCCCUUCUUAAAACCCUUCCUUAAAACUUCAGAUCAAAUUAACACUUGUUCCUCUAACUUGUAAAGUGUGGACUUUGAAAGGGUCUUUGAAGUAUAAAUGUCAUCUGGUUAGUCCUCAUCCUGAAAGUGGCAUUUUGUAUGAAUCUCCAGGGAAGGCAAGGACAUUCCUUCUGGGUGAUAGGAGAAGGAAACUGAAAGAGAUUUUGAGUUGAUAAAUGGCUAAAAAGCACAUCAUUGUUAUUCUUUGCAAAGUCUGCAGAACUCAGAGUUAAAAAUUAUUCAUAGAGAAAAACAAAUUGCAAAUGUUUUAUUUUCCAAGUAUUACAUCAAGUUAAAAAUUAUUGUGAGGAGUGCGGUCAACAUAUGAUGCUGUCACUGCUACUAUCUCUCAAAGAUGGCAGCUCUAUAACUCACUUUUGUAUGAAGUGGAUUAAUUCAUUUCUUGUGCAUUCUGUGAGCAUUCAUUCUGUUCUCAGCCCAGGAAAAUCCCAGAAUGUGAGAAAGAGCUGGAAGGGACCUCAGGAAUCAUCUCACACCCCCUGCUCCUAUUACUCUCAUGUAAAAAUCAGACAAAUCACUGGUGUCACAAGUAAAAUAGUUGUGCACCUUCUCAUUCACUGCCAUGUAACAGGUGAAAAAAUAAACAUGUUGAUACUUAUAUUGAGCCUACACCAUAGCCCACAGGCAUGUUAAAACUGUGGGAAUCAAUUGGAGUUGAGAAUUUUUAAAAAGUCAAUAAAAGAUCCCAAACACAUUCCUCUUCCUAACCCAGUUCAUUAUUCUCAGGAAAAAUUGUAGCAGAUUAUGAGGCAGAAGGCCUGACCAUACCUGGUCACACUUGGCUAUGUGGGGGAACUUGGCAAUUAAUUACCUGUUACUGUGCUCUGGUUUUUCUAGCUGUCAAUUAGAGAAAAUGGUACUUGUCCCCAUAGAGCUAAGAGAUCAAAAGGGAUACACUUGUAAAUUCCAACAUGGUUUACAAACACAGUAACAUUAGUUAACUGUGCUUGCUCUUUGGUGCAAGUAAAGAUAAAGAGGUAAAGACAGUAAUAACUGCAUUUUUCCAUGGAUAAGUUGAACAUUUUUCAAUUCUACGAAUAGCACAUUUCAACAACGAGGAUGAAAAUGUUGGUUAAUCUUUUCCACUGAGCUUGUAUUAAACCCUUGCAUACGAAGCUUCUGCUACUACCCACUAUCCAUUCUUAAACAUCUUUCUGCUUGAU
Molecule: long non-coding RNA, 1830 nt
Organism: Canis lupus familiaris (dog)
Lineage: Eukaryota; Metazoa; Chordata; Mammalia; Carnivora; Canidae
Exons: 3
Source: RefSeq, a predicted model, not a curated record